UACAGAGGGUGCGAGCGUUAAUCGGAAUUACUGGGCGUAAAGCGCACGUAGGCGGCUUGGUAUGUCGGGUGUGAAAUCCCCGGGCUCAACCUGGGAACUGCAUCCGAAACUGCCUUGCUAGAGUAUGGGAGAGGGAAGUGGAAUUUCCGGUGUAGCGGUGAAAUGCGUAGAUAUCUGGAGGAACACCGGUGGCGAAAGCGGGACUUUGGGCCGAUACUGACGCUGAGGAGCGAAAGCGUGGGGAGCAAACAGG
RNAcentral lists this ribosomal RNA (253 nucleotides) under uncultured bacterium. Its description in RNAcentral is "partial 16S ribosomal RNA". It matches the Rfam family "Bacterial small subunit ribosomal RNA", at positions 524 to 776 of the family's 1533-position model. The record is from RNAcentral.